AACGAACGCUGGCGGCAGGCCUAACACAUGCAAGUCGAACGCCGUAGCAAUACGGAGUGGCAGACGGGUGCGUAACACGUGGGAACAUACCCUUUGGUUCGGAAUAACUCAGGGAAACUUGAGCUAAUACCGUAUAAUGACUCCGGUCCAAAGAUUUAUCGCCUAAGGAUGAGCCCGCGUAGGAUUAGCUAGUUGGUGAGGUAAAAGCUCACCAAGGCGACGAUCCUUAGCUGGUGUGAGAGCACGACCAGUCACACGGGCACUGAGACACGGGCCCGACUCCUACGGGAGGCAGCAGUAAGGAAUAUUGGUCAAUGGACGCAAGUCUGAACCAGCCAUGCCGCGUGAAGGAUGAAGGUCCUCUGGAUUGUAAACUUCUUUUAUGUGGACGAACCCUGGUAUUCUUACCAGAUUGACGGUACCAUAGGAAUAAG
RNAcentral lists this ribosomal RNA (434 nucleotides) under uncultured bacterium. RNAcentral's name for it is "bacterial SSU rRNA". It matches the Rfam family "Bacterial small subunit ribosomal RNA", at positions 29 to 490 of the family's 1533-position model. The record is from RNAcentral.